RNAcentral lists this transfer RNA (76 nucleotides) under Verrucomicrobiota bacterium. Its description in RNAcentral is "Verrucomicrobia bacterium tRNA-Arg". It matches the Rfam family "tRNA". Rfam says of the family: Transfer RNA (tRNA) molecules are approximately 80 nucleotides in length. Lineage: Bacteria; Pseudomonadati; Verrucomicrobiota. The record is from RNAcentral.
GCUCCGAUGGCCGAAUGGAUAAGGCAACAGCCUUCUAAGCUGUAGAUUCUAGGUUCAAGUCCUAGUCGGAGCGCCA